RNAcentral lists this ribosomal RNA (406 nucleotides) under Bacillus sp. GZT. Its description in RNAcentral is "bacterial LSU rRNA". It matches the Rfam family "Bacterial large subunit ribosomal RNA", at positions 2297 to 2702 of the family's 2925-position model. Lineage: Bacteria; Bacillati; Bacillota; Bacilli; Caryophanales; Bacillaceae. The record is from RNAcentral.
GUAACGGAGGCGCCCAAAGGUUCCCUCAGAAUGGUUGGAAAUCAUUCGUAGAGUGCAAAGGCAUAAGGGAGCUUGACUGCGAGACCUACAAGUCGAGCAGGGACGAAAGUCGGGCUUAGUGAUCCGGUGGUUCCGCAUGGAAGGGCCAUCGCUCAACGGAUAAAAGCUACCCCGGGGAUAACAGGCUUAUCUCCCCCAAGAGUCCACAUCGACGGGGAGGUUUGGCACCUCGAUGUCGGCUCAUCGCAUCCUGGGGCUGUAGUCGGUCCCAAGGGUUGGGCUGUUCGCCCAUUAAAGCGGUACGCGAGCUGGGUUCAGAACGUCGUGAGACAGUUCGGUCCCUAUCCGUCGUGGGCGUAGGAAAUUUGAGAGGAGCUGUCCUUAGUACGAGAGGACCGGGAUGGAC